Molecule: ribosomal RNA, 465 nt
Filed under: uncultured bacterium
Lineage: Bacteria
Description: partial 16S ribosomal RNA
Rfam family: Bacterial small subunit ribosomal RNA
Source: RNAcentral
CCUACGGGAGGCAGCAGUAGGGAAUCUUCCACAAUGGGCGAAAGCCUGAUGGAGCAACGCCGCGUGGGUGAAGAAGGUCUUCGGAUCGUAAAACCCUGUUGUUAGAGAAGAAAGUGCGUGAGAGUAACUGUUCACGUUUCGACGGUAUCUAACCAGAAAGCCACGGCUAACUACGUGCCAGCAGCCGCGGUAAUACGUAGGUGGCAAGCGUUAUCCGGAUUUUUUGGGCGUAAAGGGAACGCAGGCGGUCUUUUAAGUAUGAUGUGAAAGCCUUCGGCUUAACCGGAGUAGUGCAUUGGAAACUGGGAGACUUGAGUGCAGAAGAGGAGAGUGGAACUCCAGGUGUAGCGGUGAAAUGCGUAGAUAUAUGGAAGAACACCAGUGGCGAAAGCGGCUCUCUGGUCUGUAACGGACGCUGAGGUUCGAAAGCGUGGGUAGCAAACAGGAUUAGAUACCCCAGUAGUC